GACGAACGCUGGCGGCGUGCUUAACACAUGCAAGUCGAACGGAAAGGCCCUGCUUUUGUGGGGUGCUCGAGUGGCGAACGGGUGAGUAACACGUGAGUAACCUGCCCUUGACUUUGGGAUAACUUCAGGAAACUGGGGCUAAUACCGGAUAGGAGCUCCUGCUGCAUGGUGGGGGUUGGAAAGUUUCGGCGGUUGGGGAUGGACUCGCGGCUUAUCAGCUUGUUGGUGGGGUAGUGGCUUACCAAGGCUUUGACGGGUAGCCGGCCUGAGAGGGUGACCGGCCACAUUGGGACUGAGAUACGGCCCAGACUCCUACGGGAGGCAGCAGUGGGGAAUAUUGCGCAAUGGGCGGAAGCCUGAUGCAGCAACGCCGCGUGCGGGAUGACGGCCUUCGGGUCGUAAACCGCUUUCGCCUGUGACGAAGCGUGAGUGACGGUAAUGGGUAAAGAAGCACCGGCUAACUACGUG
This 468-nucleotide ribosomal RNA is filed under the name uncultured bacterium. Its description in RNAcentral is "partial 16S ribosomal RNA". It matches the Rfam family "Bacterial small subunit ribosomal RNA", at positions 28 to 507 of the family's 1533-position model. The record is from RNAcentral.